GGACCAAGGAGUUUAGCGUGUGCGCGAGUCACUGGGUGGAAAACCCAAAGGCCCAAUGAAAGUGAAGGGAACUUGCUUUCUCAGGGAGGAUGGGCGCGCGUCCUUUAAACGGCGCCGCCCCGCACUCCCGGGGCGUCUCUUUCUCAUCACGAGUGGAGGCGCACCCAGAGCGCACACGCUGAUACCCGAAAGAUGGUGAACUAUGCCUGGCCAGGACGAAGCCAGGGGAAACCCUGGUGGAGGUCCGCAGCGAUUCUGACGUGCAAAUCGAUCGUCGGAGCUGGGUAUAGCGGCGAAAGACCAAUCGAACCAUCUAGUAGCUGGUUCCAUCUGAAGUUUCCCUCAGGAUAGCUUGCGCUCGGUUUAGACGAGUCUCAUCCGGUAGAGCGAAUGAUUAGAGGCCUUGGGGUCGGAACGAUCUCAACCUAUUCUCAAACUCCAAAUUGAUGAGACCCCCGGCUUGCUUGAAAGUGAAGCCGGGGACAUGGAUCAGAGCGCCAAGUGGGCCAAUUUUGGUAAGCAGAACUGGCGCUGUGGGAUGAACCAAACGCGGAGUUAAGGCGCCUGAAUCGACGCUCAUGUGAAACCAUGAAAGGUGUUGGUUGCUCCAGACAGCAGGACGGUGGCUAUGGAAGUUAGAA
This 641-nucleotide ribosomal RNA is filed under the name Phorticus sp. 1 JK-2020. RNAcentral's name for it is "partial large subunit ribosomal RNA". It matches the Rfam family "Eukaryotic large subunit ribosomal RNA", at positions 663 to 1266 of the family's 3401-position model. The record is from RNAcentral. Lineage: Eukaryota; Metazoa; Arthropoda; Insecta; Hemiptera; Nabidae.